GAAUCAGUCGAACAGAUGACUGCAACUGACG
This 31-nucleotide ribosomal RNA is filed under the name Brassica oleracea (wild cabbage). RNAcentral describes it as "partial large subunit ribosomal RNA". Lineage: Eukaryota; Viridiplantae; Streptophyta; Magnoliopsida; Brassicales; Brassicaceae. The record is from RNAcentral.